This 607-nucleotide unclassified non-coding RNA is filed under the name Hevea brasiliensis (rubber tree). Lineage: Eukaryota; Viridiplantae; Streptophyta; Magnoliopsida; Malpighiales; Euphorbiaceae. The record is from RNAcentral.
AAAUGAAAAAUCCUAUGAUUGAAUUCCAGGUUGGUGCUUGGGUUAAAAUCAUGGAACUUACAUAAAAGCCAUGAUUAGUAAUCCAUAUACAAUCAGAUUGUGGUCAUGAUUUAGCUAGGAAUUUUUUUCUCACCACCUCUACUAGAAACCACUUGAUAAUCAACAAUUUCUUCUCUUUGUUCCUUUAGGCAUCUUGUUGACGGAAGUCAACUAAUAAUGUCAUCAUAGAAAAGUCUUCAUCACAAACAAAAUACAAGAUAAGAUCUUCUACAUUGAAGACCUUACUUAUUUGCUCUCAUGGGGUAGAUCAAGGAAAUAAAGAUUGGAGUUGCGGCUCCUUGAAUGGAAAGUGCUUCUAAGUCAUUUAUUAGUUGGUGUUAAAGCUUACUACAUACCCAUAGCUACAUACUUUGAAAAAGCUAUUUAUAAGCUAGAUAAUUUUUACUGGUAGACUCGCAAUUACAAAGGAUCAUGUAGUUUGGCUAGCAUCAAUAUAGUUGAAGCCACUAAAGAUGUUGGCUGUAAAAGCAUCGUGGAUUGUUACAAUCAUUGGCCACAUUGGUUAUGUAGGGAUGUUGAUGCGAUAAAUAAAAUCUUGAGCUCUCAU